Etheostoma spectabile (orangethroat darter) is the source of this 112-nucleotide long non-coding RNA. RefSeq lists it as uncharacterized. The transcript is spliced from 3 exons. The record is from RefSeq and is a predicted model, not a curated record. Lineage: Eukaryota; Metazoa; Chordata; Actinopteri; Perciformes; Percidae.
AAACAGACUUCAGAUAGAGUAUUAGGGAACAUUAAGGUCUAUGUAAAAGAGGACUGAAUACAGUAGUAGGGGAACACUAGGCUAUAUAAAAACAUUUCAAAGGCACAUUUCA